CCAAUAGCGUAUAUUAAAGUUGUUGCAGUUAAAAAGCUCGUAGUUGAAUUUCGGGAUCAAUACGUCGGUCGUGCUUUCGGGUACGUACUGGCGUCAUUGGUUUCUCCUUUCUGACGAACCAUGAUGUCAUUAAUUUGGUGUCUUGGGGAAUCAGGACUGUUACUUUGAAAAAAUUAGAGUGUUUAAAGCAGGCUCACGCUUGAAUACAUUAGCAUGGAAUAAUGAAAUAGGACGUUUGAUUCUAUUUUGUUGGUUUCUAGGAUCGACGUAAUGAUUAAUAGGGAUAGUUGGGGGCAUUAGUAUUCAAUUGUCAGAGGUGAAAUUCUUGGAUUUAUUGAAGACUAACUACUGCGAAAGCAUUUGCCAAGGAUGUUUUCAUUAAUCAAGAACGAAAGUUAGGGGAUCGAAGACGAUCAGAUACCGUCGUAGUCUUAACCAUAAACUAUGCCGACUAGGGAUCGGAUGAUGUUAAUUUUUUAAUGACUCAUUCGGCGCCUUACG
RNAcentral lists this ribosomal RNA (501 nucleotides) under uncultured Glomeromycotina. Its description in RNAcentral is "SSU rRNA". It matches the Rfam family "Eukaryotic small subunit ribosomal RNA", at positions 591 to 1092 of the family's 1831-position model. The record is from RNAcentral. Lineage: Eukaryota; Fungi; Glomeromycota.